This is a non-coding RNA of Momordica charantia (bitter melon), 1034 nucleotides long. NCBI's taxonomy places the organism in Eukaryota, Viridiplantae, Streptophyta, Magnoliopsida, Cucurbitales, Cucurbitaceae. The record is from RefSeq and is a predicted model, not a curated record.
AUGAAAUUUCAUUUCCCAAUUUAUUUUGUGAAAGAUUUGCUCGUUGAACUCAUAAUAUUGUAUUUACUAUCCAUAUGAAGGUUAUACUUACCAAGAGGACCAUGAAAAAGACAGUUGUAAAUGAAUCUUGGUUCAAGUUCUAUUUGUACUUUUUUCCCUUUAUAUUCAAACUAAGGGGUAUUUAAAGAUUUGCAAUCUGGCAAUACGUUUCUUGAGUUUUCUGAAGAAACUUUUAUGUACGAGGAACUGAAAUGAUAGCCUUUUUGAUUGAUAUGCUUAUGUGUCUUGCUGCAGGUCUUCAAUCCAUUCACUUAAGAAACUGGUAUCCACUGAUCACACCUUGAGGUGACACCAAAGAGAAUGCAUCAGUCUAGUUUAAUACGGAGAUUCGAACUCAUGACCUUUUGAUCAGAGACAUGACAAUUAUCGCUGUGCUAGGCACAUGUUAGCGUGCAUCAAUCUAGUCUAGUCUAAUGGCUUGAGGGCUUCAAUUCGUCCACUUAAGAAACUGGUUCCACCUUCCAUACCUGGAGGUAAUACCAAAGGGAGUGCACUACCCUGAUUCAGUACUUAACUUAACUUGCCUUCGAGACACAGUGAUGAUGCCUCUUGGAUCCAUCAGUGCAAGUCAGUUGACCGAGUGGGUAGGUGUACCUCCAUAGCUUGAGGAAGAACAUGAGAUCUGAUGAGACUAAUAGCCAUCAAACUCUGCUGGACCAGGGAGACGUUCGGAGUCGAUAGUGAUGAGCUUAUAUAUGACUUACGAUCAUUUGAAUCCAGGGAAAGAGCAGGGUUAGUUCCUCCGAUAUGUAGUAACCUAGGGAAUAUUUUGUUAGACUGCCAUUGGCUCUGUACUUCUCCAACUCACCAUUGCCUCAAUUUUACCAUCUGGCCAGUUGUCUAUGAUGAAUAAUUGCAGAGAAAUUGUAAUCGUUACGUGUUAUCGCGCUUACCGUGCGCGUUAUGUUUGACCCUUGUCAUUGAAAUGAAGGCAUAACCAAGUAGUAGUUUGAAAUUGAACCUCAUACCAGAGC